RNAcentral lists this long non-coding RNA (3224 nucleotides) under Homo sapiens (human). Its description in RNAcentral is "HSALNT0390556". Lineage: Eukaryota; Metazoa; Chordata; Mammalia; Primates; Hominidae. The record is from RNAcentral.
GUGUGUGUGAGGGUGCCGUGAGGGUGUGUGUGAGGGUGUGUGUGGGUGUGUGUGUGUGUGAGGGUGUGUAUGUGUGAAAGGCACUGGGAAAAGAAUCCCAUGCUAAAUGCCCAAGAGCCCAGAGGAGAGGAAGACGGGGCCAGGAGCCUACAGAGGAGGAAGGGUAGCCAUUCUGGGCCUGGAGACCCCCACCUUCCUCCCCUAAAAUACAGGGAAGAAGAAGGCCUGCCCUAGAGGCCAGUAGGAGCUGAGCAAAAGGAAUCCUAAGUCCAAGAGAGGAGCAGAGGACCUGGCCGCCAGCUCCACCCUCCCUCCCAGGGCCAAAUUUAGCCUGGGCUUAGAAGCUGCGGCCCAGCCAGCUCAUUAAAGGGCCCACGACCCUUUGGGCCUGUGCUGUCAGACCCACCCGGGCCCUAGGACACCUCCAGCCCUCAGAGCUCCCAGCCCCUUCAUCCCAGAGCCCAGCUCCCAGCCCCAUUCCCUGGAUCCCCAGCUGGCCAUGGCAUUAACACCCCAAAGCCCUUCUGGCGCCUGCCUCACCCAACCCAGAUCCCUCUUCUGUGGGCCCUCCACACCUCCGUCUUACCACCCCUAAAUCCUGCCCCCUCAUCCUGGGCCUCCCCGCUGAACAAGGCCCCAACUUGCCCACGAGGAGAGGAGUCCAGAAGAGUGUCUCAGCCAUGGCUGCCCGGCCUGGCCCGCCCGGCCAAGCUGGGUGUCCCCUUAGCCCCUGCGUGCUUUCCUGGGCACAACACAAUCACACAGACUGCUCCAAGCUCCUCGAAGACUAGGAUCUUGUCACGUUUGUAUCCUUGGGCCUGGCACAGGGCCUGGUAACUAGUAGGUGUAGCUGGCUGGCGGCAGCUUCCUUAACAGCAAACGUAGGUGCCAUCCACCCAGCCUUUAUCCCCAGUCCAAGCACUUCAGCGUGGAGGUCUAGCAAGCCCUGGACAGGACCAGCCAGCUAGAGACAGCUGGAAUAAUUAUAGACAGAAACUGCCCCUUGCGAUUUGGUUACUGAGUGGGAAAGUUCGUAAAAGGAAGACGGGAGAAACGCUGGACUCUUCCUGUAUUAAACAGUUUCUGAAUAAAGAGCUGUUUCCCUAGCAUCCUCCAAACUCUGGCCAGUCCGAGCUUCUUUGGUAGUAGUAGAAUGAUGAUACAUGGUUUACACCUAUCUGACUGCUUCAGUCCAUUGCAACUAGGGUCCCUUCUGGUGCUCACAUUGCCUAUCUUUAGCUCUCCGUUUUGUCAUCCCCAGUUGGGGCGUCGGUCAGGAGAGCUGGAGGGGUCGGGGCUCGUACCCCACCUCGCACAGCUGGUGCCCUUGCCGUGCCCUAGGCUCCGCCGGUACUUCCCCGGCCUCCGCCUCACUCCUGCGGCCCAGCCCUGUCCUGAGCUAGUCGCUUCUCUGUCCUGGCCUUUUUGACAUCCGCAUCCGUCUCUCCAGCUUUCUGCCCCGUCUCUGCCCACCAGUGCCUAAAUGUAAGCCCUCUGGUCCUUUGUCCCUGUAUCUCCCCAUCCCAGUGAAUGUUUGCUGAAUGAACGAAUGACUGCUGUCCAGUGUGUCUCAUUCAGCUUCAGUUUCUGUGCACCUGUCUCUAAGUCUCUUGAGGUCUGAGGCCGUGUUUUCUUUAUCUGCAUCUAUACGUUGCCGUGAGGGACAAAGGAAAGGGCUUCUCGUCAUUGUGAUCUGAUUCUCGCAUCUGCCUCCCAGACUCCACCCACAUCUUUCUCCCCUGUCCCGUACGCCGCCUCCAGCGCAACAACAAAGACUGCGACCUGGCCAGUCCGCCACGAGAGGGCGCGUUCGCUGGCGCCAGCCCGGUCUUGCGCCUGCGCGAUGUUGGGACGGAGCGGGAGUCGGGGGCGGGAUGCCUGCGGAGCGCGCCGCCCCGGGCUGGGGAUGCGCGUCAGCAGUGCGUGCUGGGGGACGCAGUUACAGGGGGCGACGCAGGAGGGAACCCAAGGCCACGAGCUCCAUCUCGUCCUCCCCUUCCCGACCCAGAAAACGCUCUAAUCUACAGGGGGAGGAGAAGCCGCACGGAGGCAGGGGGCUGGACAUAAUGAUCUCUUCCCCAUCCCACCUCCACCCAUCCCACCAUCUGUAUCAAGCCUCCGACUUCCAAGGACAUUUCCAUAUCCCCCCAGACAUUUUGGGAUACCAGCCUGGAGACCUAAAUGUACCCAGAAUCCCCCGCCUUUUUAUCGGUGGAUUUCAGCCCUCAAAGCGUUCCGUGAGCCUCUGACCGCCCAAAUCCAUCACACAUGAGUUGGAAUGCCAGGGACCAUUCCCGGCCAAACGUUAGAUUACAGGAGUAAGAGAGAAGAGGAGGGACUGUCCGAGGUGCCUCGGCACUAUGGCUGCACAGCUGGAUCUCUGGACACGGAGCCCUGGACCGUUUCCACCCAGACACUCCCAUUCCAUCAAGUGGGGGUGUGGACGUUUAUGCAAUUCUGGAAGGUCUCCUGGUGGGGACCCCUGGGAAAGAGACUAAUAAGAAAGCAUCCAGUUUCUUCGGUCUCUGACGUUGUUGUCUGCACAAGAGAGUUAAGGCAGCCAUCUUGGGACCAUGAGGGAGCCAGUCUAAGAGGCAAAUCAACACAAUGAGAGGGUGUUGGAAAAAGACAAAAAGAACCUGGUCCUUGAUGUCACAGCCAGGCCUCUGAAUUAACCACCCCCAGGACUUCUUGUUACGUGAGCUAAUAAACGUUCCUUUUUGCUUAAACCCCUUCUAGUUGGGCUUUCUGUUGUAACUUGCACCGAAAACUACAAUAGGAUAGCAAAGGAUAUGAACAUAAGUGAUUUGCCUAGAGGAAACCCACAUGGUCAAUGAGAAUAAGAUGCUCAGCCUCAUAGGCAGGGAAUGCAGCUUCAAAUGAGAUGCCACUUCAUGCCUAUCAGAUUGGCAAACAUAAGUCUAACAAGAGCAAAAGUUGGCAAGGAUGUGGUAAAACAGGAUGUCUUGUACAAACGCUGGUGGUGAGAGGAUCAAUUGGUUCAGACGCUGUAGAGAGCAGUUUGGCAGUACUAGUCAACUUCAAAGUGUGCCUGCCCGACAAUCCUAGCUUUCUAAGUAUAUGCCCUAAUAAUGGGUUCAGAGAAAAGUCCAAGCAUGUUCAUUGAAGCCCUGUUUAUAUAACAGCAAAACAGGCCCGGUGCAAUGGCUCAUGCCUGUAAUCCCAGCACUUUGGGAAGCUGAGGCAGGCAGAUCACUUGAGCU